CCUACGGGAGGCAGCAGUGAGGAAUAUUGGUCAAUGGACGGAAGUCUGAACCAGCCAUGCCGCGUGCAGGAAGACGGCUCUAUGAGUUGUAAACUUCUUUUGUCAAGGGACAAAAUCAGGCUCGAGAGCCUGACCGAGGGUACUUGAAGAAAAAGCAUCGGCUAACUCCGUGCCAGCAGCCGCGGUAAUACGGAGGAUGCGAGCGUUAUCCGGAUUUAUUGGGUUUAAAGGGUGCGUAGGCGGACUGUUAAGUCAGCGGUAAAAGCCCGGGGCUCAACCCCGGCGAGCCGUUGAAACUGGCUGUCUUGAGAUGUCGAGAGGUAUGCGGAAUGCGCAGUGUAGCGGUGAAAUGCUUAGAUAUUGCGCAGAACUCCGAUUGCGAAGGCAGCAUACCGGCGGCGAUCUGACGCUGAGGCACGAAAGCGUGGGUAUCGAACAGGAUUAGAUACCCGGGUAGUC
This 459-nucleotide ribosomal RNA is filed under the name uncultured bacterium. RNAcentral describes it as "partial 16S ribosomal RNA". It matches the Rfam family "Bacterial small subunit ribosomal RNA", at positions 338 to 795 of the family's 1533-position model. The record is from RNAcentral.